AGUGAACGCUGGCGGUAGGCCUAACACAUGCAAGUCGAACGGCAGCACAGUAAGAGCUUGCUCUUACGGGUGGCGAGUGGCGGACGGGUGAGGAAUACAUCGGAAUCUACUUUUUCGUGGGGGAUAACGUAGGGAAACUUACGCUAAUACCGCAUACGACCUACGGGUGAAAGCAGGGGAUCUUCGGACCUUGCGCGAUUGAAUGAGCCGAUGUCGGAUUAGCUAGUUGGCGGGGUAAAGGCCCACCAAGGCGACGAUCCGUAGCUGGUCUGAGAGGAUGAUCAGCCACACUGGAACUGAGACACGGUCCAGACUCCUACGGGAGGCAGCAGUGGGGAAUAUUGGACAAUGGGCGCAAGCCUGAUCCAGCCAUACCGCGUGGGUGAAGAAGGCCUUCGGGUUGUAAAGCCCUUUUGUUGGGAAAGAAAAGCAGCAGGUUAAUACCCUGCUGUUCUGACGGUACCCAAAGAAUAAGCACCGGCUAACCUCGUG
This 492-nucleotide ribosomal RNA is filed under the name uncultured bacterium. RNAcentral's name for it is "partial 16S ribosomal RNA". It matches the Rfam family "Bacterial small subunit ribosomal RNA", at positions 29 to 507 of the family's 1533-position model. The record is from RNAcentral.